GUGAGGAAUUUUCCGCAAUGGGCGAAAGCCUGACGGAGCAAUGCCGCGUGAAGGAUGAAGGCCUAUGGGUUGUAAACUUCUUUUCUUAGAGAAGAAUAUUGACGGUAUCUGAGGAAUAAGCCCCGGCUAACUUCGUGCCAGCAGCCGCGGUAAUACGAAGGGGGCGAGCGUUAUUCGGAAUCACUGGGCGUAAAGCGUGCGUAGGCUGUUUUGUAAGUCAGAAGUGAAAGCCCAGGGCUUAACCCUGGAAUUGCUUUUGAAACUACAAGACUCGAAUGCGGGAGAGGAUAGCGGAAUUGUCAGUGUAGCAGUGAAAUGCGUAGAUAUUGACAGGAACACCAGUGGCGCAAGCGGCUAUCUGGACCGAUAUUGACGCUGAGGCACGAAAGCGUGGGGAGCAAACAGGAUUAGAAACCCCGGUAGUCC
Molecule: ribosomal RNA, 426 nt
Filed under: uncultured bacterium
Lineage: Bacteria
Description: partial 16S ribosomal RNA
Rfam family: Bacterial small subunit ribosomal RNA
Source: RNAcentral